Methylophilales bacterium HTCC2181 is the source of this 71-nucleotide non-coding RNA. NCBI's taxonomy places the organism in Bacteria, Pseudomonadati, Pseudomonadota, Betaproteobacteria, Nitrosomonadales. The record is from Rfam.
GGCGCGUUAGCAAAGUGGUUAUGCAGAGGCCUGCAAAGCCUUAGACGCCGGUUCGAUUCCGGCACGCGCCU